GACGAACGCUGGCGGCGUGCUUAACACAUGCAAGUCGAACGAGGUCCAUGAAGUAGCAAUACUUCGGAAGACCUAGUGGCGAACGGGUGCGUAACACGUGAGGAACUUGUCCCGGUCUCUGGGAUAACAGUUGGAAACGACUGCUAAUACCGGAUGACGUCGGAGCGUCGCAUGGCGCGCUGACGAAAGGGUUACCGGAUCGGGAGAGCCUCGCGGCCUAUCAGCUUGUUGGUGGGGUAAUGGCCUACCAAGGCAUCGACGGGUAGCUGGUCUGAGAGGAUGAUCAGCCACACUGGGACUGAGACACGGCCCAGACUCCUACGGGAGGCAGCAGUGGGGAAUCUUGCGCAAUGGGCGAAAGCCUGACGCAGCAACGCCGCGUGCGGGAAGAAGGCUCUCGGGUUGUAAACCGCUUUCAGCAGGACGAAAAUGACGGUACUUGCAGAAGAAGGUGCGGCCAACUACGUGCCAGCAGCCGCGG
RNAcentral lists this ribosomal RNA (481 nucleotides) under uncultured bacterium. Its description in RNAcentral is "bacterial SSU rRNA". It matches the Rfam family "Bacterial small subunit ribosomal RNA", at positions 28 to 520 of the family's 1533-position model. The record is from RNAcentral.